GAGGGUAUAGCUCAAGUGGUAGAGUGCCUGCCUAGCAUGCAUGAGGUCCUGGGUUCAAUCUCUAGUACCUCCU
RNAcentral lists this transfer RNA (73 nucleotides) under Camelus bactrianus (Bactrian camel). It matches the Rfam family "tRNA". Rfam says of the family: Transfer RNA (tRNA) molecules are approximately 80 nucleotides in length. Their secondary structure includes four short double-helical elements and three loops (D, anti-codon, and T loops). RNAcentral also lists the same sequence under 2 other names. The record is from Rfam by way of RNAcentral. Lineage: Eukaryota; Metazoa; Chordata; Mammalia; Artiodactyla; Camelidae.